GGCAACGUAGCCAAGUGGUAAGGCAUCGGUCUGCAAAAUCGAUACGCAUGGGUUCGAAUCCCAUCGUUGCCUCCA
RNAcentral lists this transfer RNA (75 nucleotides) under Tepiditoga spiralis. RNAcentral describes it as "Oceanotoga sp. sy52 tRNA-Cys". It matches the Rfam family "tRNA". Rfam says of the family: Transfer RNA (tRNA) molecules are approximately 80 nucleotides in length. Their secondary structure includes four short double-helical elements and three loops (D, anti-codon, and T loops). Further hydrogen bonds mediate the characteristic L-shaped molecular structure. tRNAs have two regions of fundamental functional importance: the anti-codon, which is responsible for specific mRNA codon recognition, and the 3' end, to which the tRNAs corresponding amino acid is attached (by aminoacyl-tRNA synthetases). tRNAs cope with the degeneracy of the genetic code in two manners: having more than one tRNA (with a specific anti-codon) for a particular amino acid; and 'wobble' base-pairing, i.e. permitting non-standard base-pairing at the 3rd anti-codon position. The record is from RNAcentral. Lineage: Bacteria; Thermotogati; Thermotogota; Thermotogae; Petrotogales; Petrotogaceae.